This 3756-nucleotide ribosomal RNA is filed under the name Triticum aestivum (bread wheat). RNAcentral's name for it is "partial small subunit ribosomal RNA". Lineage: Eukaryota; Viridiplantae; Streptophyta; Magnoliopsida; Poales; Poaceae. The record is from RNAcentral.
AGCAUGUAAACUUGUCUUUUUUUUCGAAAAGAAGGUUGAAACCCCUGGCCUCUGCAUCCAAGGAUGCAUGCAGCCAUCAUUAUUAAAUUAUUAUUCAACAAAACCUGGCGGAACAAAUACAUGCCAUCUUCUUGGCGACCUUUGUUGCUACACCUACAAGCUUGAUGAUAUGCCUUGACCCGGCACCAACAUACACCAUCCAACCCGAUGGCCUUGCCAAGCCGCCCCAUGGAGAGCCGAGAGCACCAACCGGCCUAGCAGACCCUUAGCAUGCACCACAUGCACACUCUCUACAAUCCGCCACCACCAUCUUCCGCCGUCUCAUCUUUAGGAGGGAUCAAUGAAUUGACCUUGCCAGACCCAACUGCCGUCGACACCACCGUGACGCCAGACAGCGUCACCACCCUGCGCGCGUACAUCCACAUGCUUCCAUCGCCAAGACUCAACUGCGCCACGCCGCCAAGACCCACCAUCGUCGAUGCGGUAGAUGCAACACCACGCCGCCAAGACCCACCAUUGUCGAUGUGGUAGACGCAACACCACUCCACCUUUUGGCCCCUCCAGCCAGCACCUCCUCCAAAACGAUGCCCCCAGAAGGGAAAACGGCAGCAAAGGCGCCGACAUUAUUCGAUCCGGGAGACCCAGAUCUAGGCUUUCCCCUGAAGUAGACCGAGCGAGCUGACACAGACUGCAACGAUGACGCCUCGACAAGGAAACGAUGUCAAAGACGGCGCCAUCGUCCGCCAUGGCCGAAGUUGUGAUGAUUUUCACCGGCAUCCGCGUUACCCCGACUCCGCAGCUGACUGGAUCAGCGUGGAGCCGCGCCGUGAAGAUGCACGCGGCCGCCGAAACGCCGGUAGAGGACCUCCAGCCGCACCUCACCGACCCCUCCACACGCCGCUGGCUGGCCAAGGGCCACACCGCGACGGAUCUGAACGGGGAUCAGAUCCACAAACCACCAACCAUCUCUUGAGAGCACGCCGGAGACCGAUCCCCAUUGACCCUCUGGCCAUGGAGGCGAUCGCCGUCGCCGCCCGACCAGGGGACUCCAUCCUGGCUGCCGCGCUCGGUGGUCCAGCGACGACCACCCGCCUUCCCGGAGAGGAUCUCCUGUAGGUGGCCCAUGAGACCGCCGGGGAUCAGAUCCCCGCCGCCCCCAUCAUGGGCGCCACGCGGCCUAGUCCGGCAGCGGCCUCCGGGAGCGGCGAGGAGAGAGAGAUUGGGAGGAGGGUGGCGGUGGCCGGCUAGGGUCGCGGAAAGAGGAGGAUCACGGGAGGAAGAUGAGAUUGGGACUUGGGUGGUGGCGGCCGUCUAGGUUUAAUGCAAGAUUUAUAGGGAAUCAUGGUUUCUCAAUUGGUGUGGAUGAUGUCCAACCAGGAGAAAGUUUAAAUCAGAAAAAGAAAAUAACAAUAGAUGAAGGGUAUGAAAAAUGCCAUGAGCUUAUUGCCCUAUAUUCCAAAGGUGACCUCAUACCGCAACCUGGUUGCAACAGAGCUCAAACACUGGAGUCUCAGAUAUCUUGUCUUCUAAAUAAGUUAAGAGAAACGGCUGGAGAUGAUUGUAUGAGUACGCUUCACUGGAGGAACAGCCCAUUGAUUAUGUCUCAGUGUGGAUCUAAAGGUUCUCCAAUCAAUAUUAGUCAGAUGGUUGUAUGUGUUGGACAACAAUCAGUUGGAGGACGCCGUGCCCCAAACGGUUUUAUAGAUCGAACACUUCCCCACUUUCCUAUUAAUUCAAAGACCCCUGCGGCGAAAGGUUUUGUUGCUAAUUCCUUCUAUACGGGUUUGACUGCUACUGAGUUUUUCUUCCAUACGAUGGGUGGACGAGAAGGUCUCGUUGACACAGCGGUCAAAACAGCAGAAACUGGAUAUAUGUCCCGCAGACUAAUGAAGGGUCUUGAAGAUCUCUCAGUUUUCUAUGAUCAGACUGUCCGUAAUGCUAGCGGCGGUAUUGUUCAGUUUGUCUAUGGAGAUGAUGGUAUGGAUCCUGUAAAGAUGGAAGGAAAAGGUGGCCGUCCCUUAAAUUUGGACCAAUUGUUUAUGAAAGUCAUGGCCACAUGUCCGCAAAGGGGACAUGACACGUUAUCUCCAGAGUUAAUCUUGCAAAUGCUUAAUGAUAAGCUCUCCGGACAAGAUGCCUCAUCUGGUGGUUGUAGUGAUAAGUUCAAGGAGAUGUUAAGAAAAUUCUUUGAGGACCGCAUCAAAAUGCUUAGAAGCACAUGGAGAGCGCUUCAACUAGAUGAAGAUCGUGUGGGAAAGAGGGACUCUAGCAUUGAAGAACGCGUUGCUGCUGAUAUUUCUGGCAUAUCUGCGAAACAACUGCAGGUUUUCUUGGACACUUGCUUAUCUCGUUAUCACUCAAAAAUAAUCGAAGCAGGAGCAUCAAUUGGGGCAAUUGGGGCACAGAGUAUUGGAGAGCCUGGGACCCAAAUGACAUUGAAAACCUUCCAUUUUGCAGGAGUAGCUAGCAUGAAUGUUACUCUUGGAGUUCCCCGCAUUAAGGAAAUCAUCAAUGCUGUUAAAAAGAUAAGCACACCAAUUAUCACUACAGAACUUUUGUCUGAGCAGGAUGAGUUAUUUGCAGCCAAAGUGAAAUGUUCUAUUGAGAAAGUAGUGCUGGGUGAGGUGGCAGCAGCCAUAAAGAUUGUCUUAAGAUCAAACCAGCCACAUUUGGUUGUUGAACUCGAUAUGCAGCGCACAGAAAGGUACAUGGGAAUCUCUUCUGACACUGUGCAGCUGUCAAUACUAAAUGAUCCAAAAAUAAAGUUAAAGUCUGAGCAUGUUCGUGUCAUCGAUGAAACCAAGUUGAGAAUAUAUCCAACUGGAACAGAUAAGUCCAAACUUCAGCUUGAGCUGCACAAUCUCAAAUCGAUGCUUCCAAAACUGAUUGUAAAGGGCAUUUCAACUGUUGAAAGAGCUGUUGUCAACCCUGUUUUAAGACGCGAUGGAACUUUCGACAGAUACAACCUGUUGGUUGAAGGAACAAACCUCCUGAAAGUUUUGGGUACUCCUGGAGUUGAUGCUAAGAGAACAAAAAGUAACCACAUUUUGGAAGUGAACAAAACACUUGGAAUUGAAGCUGCAAGGAGAUCUAUCAUUGAUGAAAUUCGGUAUACCUUUGAAAAUAACAACAUGAUGAUUGAUCUGAGACAUAUGAUGCUUCUGGCAGACCUGAUGACAUACAAGGGCGAAAUUUUGGGCAUCACGGCUGGUGGCAUCGCGAAGAUGAAAAGCAGCGUGCUGAUGCUGUCUUCAUUCGAGAGAGCUUCGGAGCAUCUCUUCAAUGCUUCGUACGCUGGUCGCGAGGAUCAGAUAGAGGGAGUUAGUGAAUGCAUCAUCAUGGGCAUACCCAAGCAACUCGGCACUGGUAUCCUCAAAGUCAGGCAAAGGCUCCAGGAUUUGCCUGAAUUCAAGUACCAGCCUGAUCCAAUUCUACUGUGAGAUCGAAGAAGCUUGGAUUUGGGGAUGCAUGGCAUAGGACUGUACUUUCUUUACAGCUCGUUUGGCACCCCUCAUUUCAUGUGGUAGAAAUGAAAUGAAAUCUAUGUUAGGAUUUCAUUUGGUUGACAUGGAAAUCCAAUUGCAAAAAACUUGUUUGGCUGCUACAAGGAUUUGUAAAUUGCAAUGACUCCCAUAUCAUGAUGUUUGACUGUCAUUUUGGCAAGAAUUGAUAAAGCCACGCAUAGUUUGGCUUAAAAAAUGAGAUGUACCAAGUUGCGGCACACAAUCUUUCAUAUAAGAAGCAGCUCCAUAAAGC